RNAcentral lists this ribosomal RNA (248 nucleotides) under uncultured Eubacteriales bacterium. RNAcentral describes it as "uncultured Clostridiales bacterium partial 16S ribosomal RNA". It matches the Rfam family "Bacterial small subunit ribosomal RNA", at positions 524 to 771 of the family's 1533-position model. Lineage: Bacteria; Bacillati; Bacillota; Clostridia; Eubacteriales. The record is from RNAcentral.
UACGUAGGGGGCAAGCGUUAUCCGGAAUGACUGGGCGUAAAGGGUGCGUAGGUGGUUCAGCAAGUUAGUAGCGUAACUCCGGAGCUCAACUUCGGAACUACUACUAAAACUGUUGAACUUGAGUGCAGGAGGGGCAACUGGAAUUCCUAGUGUAGCGGUGGAAUGCGUAGAUAUUAGGAGGAACACCAGUGGCGAAGGCGAGUUGCUGGACUGUAACUGACACUGAGGCACGAAAGCGUGGGGAGCAA